GAUGAACGCUGGCGGCGUGCCUAACACAUGCAAGUCGAACGGACUUACAUUGAAGCCUAGCGAUAUGUAAGUUAGUGGCGGACGGGUGAGUAACGCGUGGGUAACCUGCCUUGUACUGGGGGACAACAGUUGGAAACGACUGCUAAUACCGCAUAAGCGCACAGCUUCGCAUGAAGCAGUGUGAAAAACUCCGGUGGUACAAGAUGGACCCGCGUCUGAUUAGCUGGUUGGUGAGGUAACGGCCCACCAAGGCGACGAUCAGUAGCCGGCCUGAGAGGGUGAACGGCCACAUUGGGACUGAGACACGGCCCAAACUCCUACGGGAGGCAGCAGUGGGGAAUAUUGCACAAUGGGGGAAACCCUGAUGCAGCGACGCCGCGUGAGUGAUGAAGUAUUUCGGUAUGUAAAACUCUAUCAGCAGGGAAGAUAAUGACGGUACCUGACUAAGAAGCACCGGCUAAAUACGUGCCAGCAGCCG
This 478-nucleotide ribosomal RNA is filed under the name uncultured bacterium. RNAcentral's name for it is "bacterial SSU rRNA". It matches the Rfam family "Bacterial small subunit ribosomal RNA", at positions 28 to 517 of the family's 1533-position model. The record is from RNAcentral.